AGUGGGGAAUAUUGGUCAAUGGGCGAAAGCCUGAACCAGCCAAUCCGCGUGCAGGAUGACGGCCUUAUGGGUUGUAAACUGCUUUUAUACAGGAAGAAGCACCUGACGUGUCAGGGAAUGACUGUACUGUAUGAAUAAGCAUCGGCUAACUCCGUGCCAGCAGCCGCGGUAAUACGGAGGAUGCAAGCGUUAUCCGGAUUUAUUAGGUUUAAAGGGUGCGUAGGCGGACUGGUAAGUCAGUGGUGAAAUCCUACAGCUUAACUGUAGAACUGCCAUUGAUACUAUUAGUCUUGAGUACAAUUGAGGUAGGCGGAAUGUGUGGUGUAGCGGUGAAAUGCUUAGAUAUCACACAGAACACCGAUUGCGAAGGCAGCUUACUAAACUGUAACUGACGCUGAGGCACGAAAGCGUGGGGAGCAAACAGGAUUAGAUACCCUGGUAGUCCACGCCGUAAACGAUGAUCACUCGCUGUUCGCCCUUUUGGGUGAGUGGCCAAGCUAAAGCAUUAAGUGAUCCACCUGGGGAGUACGUCGGCAACGAUGAAACUCAAAGGAAUUGACGGGGGCCCGCACAAGCGGUGGAACAUGUGGUUUAAUUCGAUGAUACGCGAGGAACCUUACCUGGAUUUAAAUGUAGGACGAAAGUCACGUGAAAGCGAGACCUUCCUUCGGGACGGACUACAAGGUGCUGCAUGGUUGUCGUCAGCUCGUGCCGUGAGGUGUCGGGUUAAGUCCCAUAACGAGCGCAACCCCUAUCGUUAGUUACCAGCGGAUUAUGCCGGGGACUCUAACGAGACUGCCACCGUAAGGUGUGAGGAAGGUGGGGAUGACGUCAAAUCAGCACGGCCCUUAUAUCCAGGGCUACACACGUGUUACAAUGGCCGGUACAAAGGGCAGCUACCUGGUGACAGGAUGCAAAUCUCUAAAACCGGUCUCAGUUCGGAUCGAAGUCUGCAACUCGACUUCGUGAAGGUGGAAUCGCUAGUAAUCGCGCAUCAGCAACGGCGCGGUGAAUACGU
This 1018-nucleotide ribosomal RNA is filed under the name uncultured bacterium. Its description in RNAcentral is "bacterial SSU rRNA". It matches the Rfam family "Bacterial small subunit ribosomal RNA", at positions 353 to 1371 of the family's 1533-position model. The record is from RNAcentral.